CAGUCGCCACGGUAAUACGUAGGUGGCAAGCGUUGUCCGGAAUUAUUGGGCGUAAAGGGCUCGCAGGCGGUUUCUUAAGUCUGAUGUGAAAGCCCCCGGCUCAACCGGGGAGGGUCAUUGGAAACUGGGAAACUUGAGUGCAGAAGAGGAGAGUGGAAUUCCACGUGUAGCGGUGAAAUGCGUAGAGAUGUGGAGGAACACCAGUGGCGAAGGCGACUCUCUGGUCUGUAACUGACGCUGAGAAGCGAAAGCGUGGGGAGCGAACAGGAUUAGAUACCCGCGUAGUCCCUGUCUCUUAUAC
Molecule: ribosomal RNA, 301 nt
Filed under: uncultured bacterium
Lineage: Bacteria
Description: partial 16S ribosomal RNA
Rfam family: Bacterial small subunit ribosomal RNA
Source: RNAcentral